Molecule: long non-coding RNA, 489 nt
Filed under: Pan troglodytes (chimpanzee)
Lineage: Eukaryota; Metazoa; Chordata; Mammalia; Primates; Hominidae
Description: long non-coding RNA NONPTRT003331
Source: RNAcentral
CUGCCUCAGCCUCCCGAGUAGCUGGGAUUGCAGGCACCUGCUAUCAUUAUUUUGAAGCAAAUUUCAGGCAUUUCAUGUCUAAAUACUUUAGUAUUCAUAAAUAUUCAUAAAAUGGUAAUUCCAUUAGCACCUAAAGUAUACAAUAAUUGUUUGAUAUCGCCCUCAGUAUUGGAAUUUUACCAGUUGUCUCAUAAUAUUUUUUCCAGUUGCUUUGUUUUAAUCAGGAUCCCUCAAAAGGUCUACAUAUUGUAUUUGAUGGACAUGUCUCUUGGUCCACAUAUAUUGCAUUUGGUUGAUAAGCCUCUCAGUCUCUAGGUCCUUCCUCCUUCAGGCAUUUAACUAAAUAUAUCACAUGUAUAAAGGCACAUAAUCCCUUCACAACAUUAUGAAAUAGGUACUAUUAUUAUCCCCAUUUUACUGAUGAGGAAACUGAGUCACAAAGCUAAUACACAGUCUCUAAUAAGUGCUUCCAAAACAUGCGUUGUAGCA